CAAUAGCGUAUAUUUAAGUUGUUGCAGUUAAAAAGCUCGUAGUUGGAUUUCGGGUAGGAUUUGCCGGUCCGUCUUUGAGAUGUGUACUGGUAAGUCCUAUCUUCUUGUCGGGGACCAGCUCCUGGGCUUCACUGUCCGGGACUGGGAGCCGACGAAGUUACUUUGAGUAAAUUAGAGUGUUCAAAGCAAGCCUACGCUCUGAAUAUAUUAGCAUGGAAUAACACGAUAGGACUCUGGCUUAUCUUGUUGGUCUGUGAGACCAGAGUAAUGAUUAAGAGGGACAGUCGGGGACAUUCGUAUUUCAUUGUCAGAGGUGAAAUUCUUAGAUUUAUGAAAGACGAACUUCUGCGAAAGCAUUCGCCAAGGAUGUUUNCAUUGA
This 379-nucleotide ribosomal RNA is filed under the name uncultured eukaryote. RNAcentral's name for it is "partial 18S ribosomal RNA". It matches the Rfam family "Eukaryotic small subunit ribosomal RNA", at positions 592 to 976 of the family's 1831-position model. The record is from RNAcentral.